Molecule: ribosomal RNA, 447 nt
Filed under: uncultured bacterium
Lineage: Bacteria
Description: bacterial SSU rRNA
Rfam family: Bacterial small subunit ribosomal RNA
Source: RNAcentral
UGGGGAAUCUUGGACAAUGGGCGCAAGCCUGAUCCAGCCAUGCCGCGUGGAUGAUGAAGGCCUUAGGGUUGUAAAAUCCUUUCGCCGAGGACGAUAAUGACGGUACUCGGAGAAGAAGCUCCGGCUAACUUCGUGCCAGCAGCCGCGGUAAUACGAAGGGGGCUAGCGUUGUUCGGAUUUACUGGGCGUAAAGCGCGUGUAGGCGGGUCGUUAAGUUGGGGGUGAAAUCCCGGGGCUCAACCUCGGAACUGCCUCUGAUACUGCCAGUCUAGAGUCCGGAAGAGGUGGGUGGAAUUCCUAGUGUAGAGGUGAAAUUCGCAGAUAUUAGGAAGAACACCGGUGGCGAAGGCGGCCCACUGGUCCGGUACUGACGCUGAGGUGCGAAAGCGUGGGGAGCAAACAGGAUUAGAUACCCCAGUAGUCCCUGAGCGGGCUGGCAAGGCGCAU